This 468-nucleotide ribosomal RNA is filed under the name uncultured bacterium. Its description in RNAcentral is "partial 16S ribosomal RNA". It matches the Rfam family "Bacterial small subunit ribosomal RNA", at positions 28 to 507 of the family's 1533-position model. The record is from RNAcentral.
GACGAACGCUGGCGGCGUGCCUAACACAUGCAAGUCGAACGGAAAGGCCCGGCUUUUGUGCGGUGCUCGAGUGGCGAACGGGUGAGUAACACGUGAGUAACCUGUCCCUGACUGUGGGAUAACUUCAGGAAACUGGGGCUAAUACCGCAUAGGAGCUAUUGCUGCAUGGUGGGCGUUGGAAAGUUUCGGUGGUUGGGGAUGUACUGGCGGCUUAUCAGCUUGUUGGUGGGGUAGUGGCGGACCAAGGCUUUGACGGGUAGCAGACCUGGGCGGGUGACCGGACACAUUGGGCCUGAGAUACGACCCAGACUCGAACCGGACGCAACGGUGGAGAGUGUUACACAGUAGGCGGAGGCCAGGUGCGACAACGCCGCGUGCGGGAAGACGGGCUUCGAGUUGUAAACCACUGUCGCCUGAGACGAGGCGUGAGUGACGGUACCGGGUCAAGAAGCACCGGCUAACUACGUG